Tephrocybe sp. NHM501043 is the source of this 101-nucleotide non-coding RNA. NCBI's taxonomy places the organism in Eukaryota, Fungi, Basidiomycota, Agaricomycetes, Agaricales, Lyophyllaceae. The record is from the annotation of a GenBank genome assembly.
GCCCGCCUAGCUCAAUCGGCCAGAGCGUCAGACUUUUACGGUGGGUAUAAGCAACCAACCAGAUCAUCUGAAGGCUGCGAGUUCGACCCUCGCGGUGGGCU